CUAAACUUGAGUUUACUCAAAUCGUAACAUUACUAUUCUACCCAAAUUUAACUUAAAUAAGUUUAAAAGAUGUAAUAGGCCAAUUUUGGCCUGGGCCCAAGACCCAAAUAUAAAACCAAAAAGAAAAAACAAAAUAGUCCAUUUUACAAAACAAACAGCAAGACUAUUUUCCAUAUUGAAUGGCCCAAACCUAAACCCAAAUUACCCAAACAAUAAAAAACCCUAAAGCCCAAGUCAGCCCAAACACCUAAACAAAACAGCAAACCCUAGCACCCUAGGCCUCCCCUUUGACCAGAACCGUACGUCAGCAGGCCACCUCGCGUGCCGCCCCUCCACGCACGCCUGCGCGUCUAACACCUGCAACAAUUGAAUGCAACAACAGAAAACAACACAGAAGAAACAAGCAGAAAGAAACAAAAAAUAGAAACCAAGAGUUGUUUAAAUCGGCCAUAAAAGCCCGAACUUCUUCUUUACAAUUUUUUUACACGCAUUAGAGAAUAAAAAAGAAAACAAAAUUACAAAGAGGUGAUAUAUUUUUAUCUGUAACUGUUUUGCUUUUUUUUGUUAUUUUUUAUUUUUUGUUUGUAAAUGAAACUAAACAUAAAGUAAAAAUUUUAAAAAUCUUCCUUACCUCUUCGGGAUCUCACCGUCUUGGAUGAAGGAGGGUGUCAUCCCCGAUGAUGGACGGUUUAAAUUCGGCGAGGCAACCGAGAAACAAAAGGGUUUCCUUUGGAUUUUACCAUUUGUGGUCAAGUUUUGACGAAAACCAACCUCAAAUCAGGCUUAGGUAGAUUAAAACGGCCCUAAGGGCCUUUUUUUGGAAUCCAACCGCCGUAUACGGUGGUCACCAUCGCUGGCGGCCAUGGCGGAUGAACGAGGCCCGAUAGGCAGGAUGUGGGGGGGAGUUUUGAGUGGAUGAGAGACUUAGAGUUUUUUAUUAGAUUUUUUUUGGGUGUGAGGGCUGGA
This 966-nucleotide long non-coding RNA is filed under the name Gossypium barbadense (sea-island cotton). Its description in RNAcentral is "long non-coding RNA (GBAR_LNC004921)". The record is from RNAcentral. Lineage: Eukaryota; Viridiplantae; Streptophyta; Magnoliopsida; Malvales; Malvaceae.